AAUUGCCGCUCAGUUACCGUAACCACUGUCUCUCUCUUUCUCUUCUCUCGCGUGCUUUUAGUUUUCGAAUUCCUGUGCUGUGCGUUGAUCGGGUUCAUCUCUCUGUUUGACUAUCCUUCGUUUCAGCAUCACACAAAACCCAACUCAGACCCACUUGCCAUCAUGUCCGCCGCCGUCUUUGAGUACCUUGGCAACACGGGAGACCGUGAUAAGGUGAUGGCCAUUGUGCAGUUCCUCCCCAUGACCCUCGCUGGCCCUGCUAACGAUGCCGGCUGCACCUCUCUGAGCAAGUCUCUGAAGAGCCUCUCGUCCAUGGCGGACGGCUACCGUGCCAUCACGCGUCUCGCCCUUCUCUUCAACGCGCUGUCAAAGCCGACGCUGGAGGCACUCUCCAAGCCUAAGGGUGACGUACUACUCGACCGCGUGGACCAGCUGAGCCACUUCUUUCACGUGUGCUUUUGCUUCUUUGAGAACACGGCAGUGCUGUCCAGCCACAACGUAUACCCGAACCGCUUUGUCCGCCUCGGUGGCUGCGCUGUGACCUGCUGGUUCUACACACUGCUGCUCGGUCUGAUGCGCCAGGCGUACGUCAUGACGCAAAAGAAGAACACACCGGAGGAACAGAAGCGGCAGAUGGUCACCACCGUGAAGCUAGGCUGCUUCUUGAUCUUCUCGCUGACCUGCUUCCCGAAGGGUGGCCCACAGCUGCUGGAGGACGUGAGCGGCCCACUGGUGCCGCUGCACAAGACGCUGCAGCUCAUCGCGCCGAAGCAUCUCGGGCUGAACGAUACGAUCCGUGGUGCGCUUGGCUUCAUCGCGUCCAUGUGUGAUUUCUACUGAGGAUGAAAGUACACCCAUCCACAGCACCGCAUCAUCAGAGGCAGCGCAGAAGGAAAGGAAGAGCAACCCUCAAGAAAACAGACGCAAACGCUAGAGAGGCACAACCAAGCACAUUGUAGGAGUAUUGCUAUGAUACCACCGUGCGUGUGCAGACCUCUAGAGCUGUCAUUGUGUAUGCACGGCCAAUGGAAGAGAGGGAAGGGAGAAGAGGGGAGAAGGUGCGCCCUGCUCCUGUACUCCCCAUCUCUGCGAUACCGUGAGCAUCGGCCUUUCUAUCGUUGCUGAUCUCUGCUUUUCUUCUGUUUAUAUAUUUUUUGGUGCGUUUCGUUUCUCGUAGUCGAUGCGUGUGUGUCUAUGCCGCGCGCUUCCUCGCCUCCUCCCUCACCUAUUUCCGGGCCGCUGCGUCCCCGCCCGCCCUCCCUCCCUCCCAUGUGCACCCUCCCUCCGUCAAGAGCCACUCACACUUAGGCAAACGCAAAAGCAGACAGAUGACGCGCGACCACACGCAGAAGAAAGAAAAGGUGCAUGAACAACACCGAAAACGUUUUCUAUUUAUUUUCUAUUUGUUGCUUCCUGUCUCUCUCUCCUCUCUCCCCCUCUCUGACGUGUACAUGUUCUGCACACGUAGGGUAUAUACGUGCAUGUGUCUCCAUUGCGGAUGAUCUCCUCGUGGUAUUUCAUUCUGUAUGUAUGUGAGUCUCUGUGUAUGCAUGUAUGUGCGCUUUUCGAGUUGUUUCGGUUUGACUCUCGGGCUCUAACUCGCCUUCUCCCCCCUUUUUCGCGUUUGUUGUGUUUCUGUGUUCCCCCAUGUGUUGCGUGCGCGUACGGUGCGUCUUCAUGUUUUCAAGGCUUUUCUUUUCUGCGUUUUUUUUUGGGGUCGCUUCCGUAACGGCCCCUUCCUUCCUCCAUCUCCGCCCUUCAGUACGUGCGCGACUGAGGGAAUGGGGGCGUAGGAAGCGGGGAGCGGGGAGCGGCACAGCGACAAGUGCAGGACACACACACACACACAAAGGGAGAGAUACAGGUGAAACGGUUUGCCACAUUUCUCUUCUCUCCUUUUCGUUUCUUUUCCCCCGAUUUGGCUCUUUUUCGCUCUCAACGACCAGCGCCCACACAACACACAUUACAUGGAGAACAAACGUGACGCGAAUGGGGAAGCGUGCCUGCCUCCAUCCACUUGACGGAGACGCCAGUGAGUGCUCGAGAGCGGCUAGCGGACCCAUUAUUCGUUGCCGUGGACAUGCUGCGGUGCGUGUAUGGAUUUGUGCUUGUGUGAGUGUGAGCGUUCUCUGGAGUUGCGUGUGAUGGGGGCUCUCCAAAAGAACCCCCUCCUUCCCUCCCCUUCCCCGAGGAAAAAAACGCAAACACAAAAACGCGCGUGAAAAACGCUCUUUUGCACUUUUCUUUUUUUUUACAUCUUCCCUCUUUCGUUUGCCCGGCGUCGUCUCCUCGUGUCUGUUGAUGGCGGUGUGCGUGCGUGUGGUUUGUUUCAGAUAUUCUUGUGGUUGAGGCAUCAGAGGGGCACAAGCAACGAGAGAGAAAAAGAGGUGUGCGCACGUGCGUAACUGCCGGGGAGUGUGCGUAAGAGUGAGUGUGCGCGUGUCUUGAGGUGCGGAUGCGUACGCAUACGCUGUGGAAUCAUGUUUCAUUCACUGGUAAACCAAACGCACACACACACACACACACACACGUCUUCGGCCUCUCUUGCCGUCCUCUCUCUCCAUUAUAAAAAAGGAACGCCGACCUCGUCGUUGUGUCCUGCAUGGAUGUGGUGUGUGUGUGGGGGGGGGCGCUGUGGGUAUGAGAAGGUAGCUGAGCUGUAUAUAGGCAAUAGCAGUAAUUCCAGAAAAAAUGAAAAGCAGCGCUGCUCUUCAAGGGCCAUCGGACUCAAUGCAUUCAUUCAGCAGCAACAUGAUAACGUGGACACUCAAGAAAAUAAAGCGAGUGAAUGAUUGAAGAAAACCAGCACGACGCGCAGAUGGCGUCGUCGAGGUUAGGUGACGUCGUUUGCAGAGAGGAGCGGCGGCAACAACAGCGGCGCACACUCUGCUCUCGCUUCCUUCCUACCCCCGCCCCCUCCCAAGCUGCGGUAUGUAACCACAUACACAAGGAGCUCUUUCAAGGUGCAUGGCGGUGGUGGUGUUGGUGGAAGAAGCUAAGGGUCUUUUUUUUCUUUUGCGUAUCGUACGAGGGGAGAAAUACGAUCGACUUUGCAGCUGACGCGACAUUCUCACGGCUUGUGCGUGUCUAGUAGUAGUCGUCUUGGCCAAGCAGUCUCUGUUGUCCGUGUGCCCCCUCCGCCCCCUCCGCCCCCUUCGCCUUCCAUCCUUAGUACUCACCUUCAGGACACGUGUGUGUGUGUGUGUGUCGGCUGCUCACCUCAUGCGUUCCAUUGGGCCUUUAGACGAUGUGCUCUUGCCUCUGUUUCCCUUUGUCUCUCGACUUUUUACGUGCUUCAUGUCCGUGUCUCCCCCGAAUCGCUGAU
RNAcentral lists this unclassified non-coding RNA (3325 nucleotides) under Leishmania donovani. Its description in RNAcentral is "gene:LdHU3.35.4910(CDS-product:Gim5A_protein_puta tive)". The record is from RNAcentral. Lineage: Eukaryota; Euglenozoa; Kinetoplastea; Trypanosomatida; Trypanosomatidae.